Molecule: RNA transcript, 1903 nt
Organism: Cercocebus atys (sooty mangabey)
Lineage: Eukaryota; Metazoa; Chordata; Mammalia; Primates; Cercopithecidae
Gene name: L-lactate dehydrogenase B chain pseudogene
Exons: 1
Source: RefSeq, a predicted model, not a curated record
UUUUUUUUUUUUUUUUUUUUGUAUUCACUUUUGAGGUCUUAUUUAUAAAUUAUUUUCCUAAAUCCAUGACCAGAAGAGUUUCUCCUUGAUUUUCUUCUGGAAUUUUUAUAGUUUCAGGCUUUACAUUUAGGUCUUUAAUCCAUUUUUAGUUAAUUUUUGUAUAUCAUGAUAGGUGAAGGUCCAGAUUUAUUCUUCUGCAUAUGGCUGGCCAAUUCAUUCAACACCAAUUAGUGGAAAAGGAGUUCUUUCUUCAUUGCUUAUUUAUGCUGGUUUUGUUGAAGGUCAGUUGGUCAUAGAUGCAUGGCUUUAUUUCAGGAUUUUCUAAUCUGUUCCAGUGACCUGUGUGUCUAUUUUUGUACUAGUACAAUGCUGUUUUAGUUUUGAUUUUAAUUUUUGUGAGUACAUAGUAGGUGUAUAUACUUGUGAAGUAAAUUAGAUGUUUUGGUACAGGCACACAAUGCAUAAUAAACACAUCAUAGAAAAUGGAGUAUCCAUUCCCUGAAGUAUAUAUCUUUUGUGUUACAAACAAUCCAAUUAUAACUCUUUUUAGGUACUCUAAACUGUGCAACUGAAUUAUUGUGUUAGACUGUUCUCACAUGGUUAUAAAGAAAUACCUAAGACUGGGUAAUUUAUAAAGAAAGAAAGUUUUGACGCAGCUGACAUUGUCUCCUCCACAUGACUGUUACAGCGGUCUCCAGAGCCUUUUCUCUCCUGUACAAAAUGGCAACUCUUAAGGAAAAACUCACUGCACCAGUUGCGGAAGAAGAGGCAACAGUCCAAAACAAUAAGAUCACUGCAGUGAGUUUUGGACUAGUUGGUAUGUCAUGUGCUAUCUGCGUUCUGGGAAAGUCUCUGGCUGAUGACCUUGCUCUUGUGGAUGUUUUGGAAGGUAAGCUUAAGGGAGAAAUGAUCAAUCCGCAGCAUGGGAGUUUAUUUCUCCAGACACUUAAAAUUGUGGCAGAUAAAGAUUGUUCUGUGACCGCCAGUUCUAAGAUUGUAGUGGUAACUGCAGGAGUCCGUCAGCAAGAGGGGGAGAGGCAUCUCAAUUUGGUGCAGAAAAAUGUUAAUGUCUUCAAAUUCAUUAUUCCUCAGAUGGUCAAGUUCACUCCUGAAUGCCUCAUAAUUGUGGUUUCCAACCUAGUAGACAUUCUUAUAUAUGUUACCUGGAAAAUAAGUGGAUUACCCAAAGUGUGAUUGGAAGUGGAUGUAAUCCGGAUUCUGCUAGAUUUCACUGCCUUAUGGCUGAAAACCUUGGCAUUCAUCCCAGCAGCUGCCAUGUAUGGAUUUUGGGGGAACAUAGCGACUCAAAUGUGACUGUGUGGAUUGGCGUGAAUGUGGCAGGUUUUUCUCUCCAGGAAUUGAAUCCAGAAAUAGGAACUGACGAUGACAGUGAAAAUUGGAAGGAAGUGCAUAAGAUAGUGGUUGAAAGUGCCCAUGAAGUCAUCAAGCUAAAAGGAUAUACCAACUGGGCUAUUGGAUUAAGUGUGACUGGUCUUAUUGAAUCCGUGAUGAAUAAUCUACCCAGGAUUCAUCCCAUGUCAACAAUGGUAAAGGGGAUGUAUGGCAUCGAGAACGAAGUCUUCCUGAGCCUUCUGUGUAUCCUCAACGCCCUGGGAUUAACCAGCACUAUCAACCAGAAGCUAAAGGAUAAUGAGGUUGCUCAGUUCAAGAAAAGUACAGAUACCCUGUGGGACAUCCAGAAGGACCUAAAAGACCUGUGACUACUGAGCUCUAGGCUGUAGAAGUUUAAAAACUACAAUAUGAUUAACUCUGAGCCUUUAGUUUUCAUCCAUUUACAUGGAUCACAGUUUGCUUUGAUCUUCUUCAACAUGUGAAUUUGGGCUCACAGAAUCAAAGCCUAUGCUUGGUUUAAUGCUUGCAAUGAGUUCUUGAACAAAUAAAA